UAAUAAUACGAUAAUCAAUGA
RNAcentral lists this non-coding RNA (21 nucleotides) under Caenorhabditis elegans. Lineage: Eukaryota; Metazoa; Nematoda; Chromadorea; Rhabditida; Rhabditidae. The record is from RNAcentral.